Long non-coding RNA from Cyanistes caeruleus (blue tit), 2057 nucleotides. The record is from Ensembl. NCBI's taxonomy places the organism in Eukaryota, Metazoa, Chordata, Aves, Passeriformes, Paridae.
AUUAAUAGUUUUCUUCUUUUGCCCCUGCUGAUGGUGUUUUAGCAAAGUAUAAUUUAAUUUGAGUGUUCACAGCAGCUCACAAUAGUGACAAGAAUAAAUGAGCCAUGACAUUUCAUUCCAAGAGCAGUAGAUGGGGAAAUCAUAGAUGAGAUACUGUGAAAACUAUGAGCUCCCUGCAGACCCCUCCUCUCUCAAGCUUCAUCUGAAACACUCAUUUUGCAGCUCCCUGUUCUAACACAGGAACUGCCUCCCCUGACCCACCAGGGAGCCACAAGAACAUGAGAUCCUCAAAUACUCCUACGUGGGAACAUCUCUGCACCCAAAGGACAUCCCUUUCUCCAUACCCUCCCACAGAGGUAACAAGCCCCAAAUCUGCCUGAGGAACUGUCUCAAGAAGGAGGAAAGGAGGUGACCCCUCCAUGCUUUCAUAUUUCAUAAGUAAAGGAGCAUGGGGGAAGAACAUGCUGCAGCUAAAUGUGCUUCUAUUUCUGGAGAUAUUUCUCCACUUUCUGAUCAUGUGUCCUGUUGCUGUCACUUCCCAGGCUCCUCAGGAGUUAGAACUGUCUUCAAGCACAACUCUUUGAAGCCAUAUGAUGACCCAAAAGUCUCUCAAUUUCAAGGUCAAUUUCUUUGCUCUUCUUGUCUUUCAGAUGCAGUGAGAAAGAGGGAUCCACCUUGGAGCCCAAUGACAGCAAAUUGGCCCCUUUCAUCCCCACUCACAGCAGGCAGGAACAUGCAAUCUGGAAAUCAUUGUCACCUUAUAAAAGUGGCCACUUAUUUUGAGGACACAAUGAAUCCCUUUGCUUAUGGAGCUUGGCCCCCUCCAGACAUCCAGCUCAUUCCAGCAAAGAAACGCUCCAGGUGCAGUUUGUCCUGCUCCUGUUUGAGGAGGACAUCCUCAUCUUCUCCAUCUUCUGCUCUGAAUCAUCAGGUGUAAAUCAGCAGUAAUGAUUCCCACCUGGAGGAGACUGGGGGAAACAUAGACUGGACAGAUGUUCUGCUUUCAGAAGACAGCAAGUGAUAUAUCUGUAAGAGCAACAGGCACAGUGAGAGAAGUGAGGCUCCUAUUAGCAACCCUUGGAGGGAAGGGUCAGGACCAGCUACUGUUAAUUUGAUGCUAUCAGCCAAUAGGGAGAAGCACAGGGAGAUCUGAACCCCUCCUUCAAAAGUUCCUUCCUCUGGUAUCACCUAACUCGACCCUUGCUGUAUUAAAAAUGUGAUUUUUGCUCAAUUCUUGAAUUCCAAGGUCCCAUCCAUCGCUGAACACUGUGAUGGGUGCCAGGACCAUGUCCUGCACAUGUGUCUCUCCUCUUCAGCAAACACCCAGAGUAUCUCAGUGCAUCUGGUGUUGACAAGAUGGGCUUUAACUUCGGAGAGCUCUUGGGUGCCAGAAUGACAGCACUGAAGAAUGAGAUCUUCUGCUGCUGGAACGGGCGAGCGUUCAACAAUGACUCAGGACAGGAAAAUGCCACUUACUGAAACUCCAAUACUUGUUUCUCAACCAGCCAAAGCUCUUGGAGGCCUCCCAUUUAAAUGUUAACCAGGCCUGGAGCUGCAUGUCUUUUGAGACCUCACAAGAGCAGCUGCAGUAUAAGGAAGACACUGUGCUAUUCAGGACAAUCUGGGAGAUAGUCAAGUUGUAGAAAGACCCUCCUGGAAUUUUUAAUAGGUUGAUAUUGAAUGUUUUAUUUCAGCUCUUCUGCUUCAGAUUUCACUGAUCAGUGAGCUGCUGAGCAAAACACACAGGUUUUGUUGGUGCAUUUUGAUGCCUGGGUGCAACACUUCGAGGCACAGAGUCUGUGACCAGGGAAUCUAAAGGGAGGAGGAGGUGGCUAGUCAAAGAAAAAACAUAUGUUAUUACAUUUAUGCAUACGGUAGGGUGGCAGUUUUCUCCUGGCAUCAUAUUCCAAGGUCUCAGUCUGCAAUCUGCUCUCAGUGUACUUGUUCAGACAAAAAUCUAUGGUCAGAAUAUGGGAUUUCAUCUGUGUUCUCCCCCAGCCCACACUGAAACACUGAUUAAAAAUAAAUUAUUCCAAAAAAGAGAAAUCUUCUCUAAG